RNAcentral lists this unclassified non-coding RNA (240 nucleotides) under soil metagenome. Its description in RNAcentral is "partial contains 5.8S ribosomal RNA, internal transcribed spacer 2, and large subunit ribosomal RNA". The record is from RNAcentral.
AACGCACGAGACCUGCGGACCUGCGGAAGGAUCAUUACCGAGUUUUCAACUCCCAAACCCCAUGUGAACUUAUACCAUUUACACCGUUGCUUCGGCGGGUUCUCGCCCCGGGCUUUACAACCCCGGAACCAGGCGGCCCGCCGGGGGACCCAAACUCUAGAUUUUAUUUUAGCAUGUCUGAGUGGAAUCAUUACAAAAUGAAUCAAAACUUUCAGCAACGGAUCUCUAGAUCGGAAGAGC